ACACAUGCAAGUCAUGGGGGCUCGAGGCGCAAGCUUUGGGCAACCGGCGAACGGGUGCGUAACACGUGAGCAACCUACCCAGGUGUGGGGGAUAGCCGUUCCAACGGACGGGUAAUACCGCAUACGCUCAACACGAGGCAUUUCGAGUUGAGGAAACCUUCGGGGCACCAUGAGGGGCUCGCGGCCUAUCAGCUAGUUGGCGAGGUAACGGCUCACCAAGGCUACGACGGGUAGCUGGUCUGAGAGGAUGACCAGCCACAUUGGGACUGAGAAACGGCCCAGACUCCUACGGGAGGCAGCAGUGGGGAAUCUUGCGCAAUGGCCUAACGGCUGACGCAGCGACGCCGCGUGAGGGAUGACGCUCUUCGGAGUGUAAACCUCUUUUGCCUGGAACGAACUGUCAGCUUCAGCUGAUUUGACGGUACCGGGUGAAUAAGCACCGGCUAACUCCGUGCCAGCAGCCGCGGUAAUACGGGGGGUGCGAGCGUUGUCCGGAAUCACUGGGCGUAAAGGGCGCGUAGGUGGCAUGAUAAGGGUGUGGUGAAAGCCCGGGGCUCAACCCCGGGUCUGCCAUGCCGACUGUCACGCUCGAGUACUGUAGGGGCAGGCGGAAUUCCGGGUGUAGCGGUGGAAUGCGUAGAGAUCCGGAGGAAGACCGGUGGCGAAGGCGGCCUGCUGGGCAGUUACUGACACUGAGGCGCGACAGCGUGGGGAGCAAACAGGAUUAGAUACCCUGGUAGUCCACGCCGUAAACGAUGGGUACUAGGUGCCUGGGGGAGCGACCCCUUGGGUGCCGGCGCUAACGCAGGAAGUACCCCGCCUGGGGAGUACGGCCGCAAGGCUGAAACUCAAAGGAAUUGACGGGGGCCCGCACAAGCGGUGGAGCAUGUGGUUUAAUUCGACCAACGCGAAGAACCUUACCUAGGCUUGACAUGCAUGGGAAACUCCUGAGAAACCAGGAGCCUCCUUCGGGAUCCAUGCACAGGUGCUGCAUGGCUGUCGUCAGCUCGUGUCGUGAGA
Molecule: ribosomal RNA, 1020 nt
Filed under: uncultured bacterium
Lineage: Bacteria
Description: bacterial SSU rRNA
Rfam family: Bacterial small subunit ribosomal RNA
Source: RNAcentral